RNAcentral lists this long non-coding RNA (3932 nucleotides) under Canis lupus familiaris (dog). RNAcentral's name for it is "lncRNA (ENSCAFG00845001644.1)". The record is from RNAcentral. Lineage: Eukaryota; Metazoa; Chordata; Mammalia; Carnivora; Canidae.
AAAAAAAAAAAAAAAGUUUAUUGUAUAUGGAAGUCAAUAGAUAUCUUUUACAAAAAAGUUAGAAUAAAGAUCUCACAUUUGUAAAGGCACAUAUGAAACAUUUUACAGCAAUGACAAGGAUGGUGAAAACAUAAACAAUACGCAACUAGGACCGUUAUCUAAAGACUUUAUAAAAACAGAAGAAACAGUGCAAAAAAUACUGUCAAAAGUCAGUUUUACACACCUCAUAACUGUGUAUAAAACUGGCAAGCAUAAGCUUAUUUACUGAUAUAAAAAAGCACAUAGAAUAGCAUGCAUAGUUUUAUUUAAGGCUUUUAAUAUUAUUAAAUUGAGAGGGAGGCUAUACCAAAUUAAAGUUGCCAUGAAUAUUAAUCACCCCCUGACAUAGGGAAUGUCCUAUAGACCUCUCACUCCCUCUCUCGCCUGACAACCACUGUUUGUAGCAAAGAGAACGGACUUGCACCUUGCAGGGUAGCAAGUGGCUACCCACGGGGAGGACAAGGGUUGUCAGGAUCCCCAGUCCCGACCUGGAAUGCGUGUCUCACGGCAACACCACCCGAGGCGGUUACAUUUCCAGGUCAGCUCACGACAGCCAACCACACACUGGGCUGCCCACCCUGCGUUUCAGCUCUGUCCGAGUCCAAAGGCUUCCGUGGGCUGACCCAAGGGCCUUAAGAACAGCCUGGCGUCUAAGCUGGGGACUCGUCCCGACGUUGUUUCAAUAGGAAAUCUACGAAAUGCCAAUUGUUUCGAAUGAGAUCGCGAUUCACAACAUCUUGUAAAACACAGACAAGGAAAGCAUCAAAAUACUGAGUUAAGUAACCCGACAAGCAGUCCAGUGAAACAAACCACAUUGGCCUGUUACUUGAUGUAAGGAGAAUCACACAAGGUUAUAUGUUUAAAUAGUCAUCUGCAUAUGUAAACUGUUCUCGUUUUCCCAUUUGAGAAUCCUCAAGUCAGUUGGCUAUGGAAGGAACGACACACACAGGAAAUCAUCUCCGAUGAAGAGUAACCUUGCUUUUAAAAUGGUUAAUAGAUUUUUAAGACCCCAGACUGGCAAGAGAGUUUAGCCAAAGGAAAUGGCAGUAACAUUCUACGAUGUUCACAUUGAAAACCAAAACAAAACAAAAAACACAAAGGCUCUGAAUUACAGCUCUGGGUUCCCCGGGGAAGGUAGUUCUUAGCUAACACUGCAGUUGAGGGAGGUGGGAGGCCCUGGGCAACGUGCAGACGCCCCUGCUGAGAGCUACCCCGACUCACUCCAGGCAGCAUUCCUGAGAUGGGGGCGAAAACAGCUCCACCCCAAGGACCAGAAGACCCGACCCAAGACCCGACCCGACCUUCCCGCUCGCUCCUGGGACCCCCUGGGACCCUGCGGUCAGGGGAGCAGGUGUCCGCGUCUCCCUGAGGGCGGCUGGGGGAGAAACGGCAGGAUCAGGUGCACGUGAUGAGCGUGUCCUGCCCCUCCCCGGACACCUGCCACCCAUCCCACCCACGGCGCCGGGCAGGCCCAGUCCGAGGGGAGAGGCCAGGCCCAGUCCAUGAGGAGAGGCUGAGGCCCAGUCAGAGGGGAGAGGCUGAGGCCCAGUCCGAGGGGAGAGGCCAGGCCCAGUCCAUGAGGAGAGGCCGAGGCCCGUCCGAGGGGAGAGGCCGAGGCCCAGUGCGAGGGGAGAGGCCAGGCCCAGUCCAUGAGGAGCGGCCAGGCCCAGUCCGAGGGGAGAGGCUGCACCAAGGGAGCUGGUCAGGAGGAGUCAGGUGCCGCGCGCACCUGACCACACGGGCCACCGACCACCGCAGCCGCUGGGACCGCGUGCAGGUCCCCCUAGAGGGAAACAAAGUACCUCUGCUACCCGCGCUGCUUCGGCCGGGGCUGCUCAUCGACUCCAUCUGCUCUCACGUCCCCCAGCAGCGAGGAGCGGCCACGACCCCGACCAAGGCGGGGAGAGAGGGGCAAAGGGCAGCGCGUGGUUGCUGGCAACUUUGCAGCUGUUUUCCAUUCUUUCUGGCCCUUUCCAUUUGCCAGAUCUUGAUCCUUCAAACUCUAUGAGCUUUUUAGAAUUAAAAUUCGAUUUUAAUCGAAUUCGAAUUAAAUCGAUUAAAAUUCGAUUUCCUAACCGUGUAAUUUAGGCCGGCCUAGGAGAGCGCUUCUGCCGAGCAGGGGAAGGGGAGGGGAGGGGAGGGAAGGCAGAGGGGAGAGCGGACCGACCGCGAGGCGGUGGGGGGAGCAGAGCCCUGAGCCGGGAGGUGCUCCUGGCCCCAGGAUGGUGCCUUCCCAGGACAGUCCCGCCCAGGGGGCCGAGGAACAAGUGCGGUCGGGGGGACGGGGACCCUGGAGCGUGAGUGUGCGCCCCGGGCUCGCAGGGAGCAGAGAUGCCAUCCCCGGGGGCCAGGCGGUGGGCAGGGCCCUCUGCCAGGAAGGCCGGUGAGCGGGCACCCAGGCUCACACCCGAAUCCUGGAGCUUCCCCAGCUCUCCCAGGGCCCUGAGGGCCGUUUAAAAGCACGAGCAAGGGUGAAACCGAUUGGGACCCUGCAGGGUGAAACCGAUUGGGACCCUGCAGCCGGGCCCUCCGAGGGGUGCUGCAGCACACUACCCCUCUGGCCUCGUUUAUGACUUCUCUAAGCAAGCCUAUGGCAUCUUGGGGAAACGAAUGACCCUGAUGGCCCAAAGCACCGCAGAAGACACAGUGACUUUCUAUGCAGAUGCUUGUCACAGCCAGGCUGUGCAUCAGCUCUCGCCCUCCCGCCUUGUAACGAAAUGUCCUUGAAUUUAUUUUUAAAAUAGAAGGGCUGACCGAAGCUCUGAACAAUAGGAACUGAUGCACAUCCUCCCACUUCACUGCACCAAACAACAAUAAACUAUCCGGUCUCAUGCAAUCGAUUGAUGCCAGAUACUCAAUUUGCCAGGCUCUUGGACGUUUUAAUAGGGAACAUUUUAGUUUGACCUUGCAGAAGAUGCAGUUAUAUUAAGCUGGAGCUAAAGGUAGUCAACACAAUAAAAGUUGCAUAUUAGGUAAGCUGGCUGUUGGGUUUUACAGAAUUCCACGAACAACAGUGACUUUAGGGGCAACAUAUUUGGAUGGGCAGAUAUGAUUGGAUAAACCCUCAUAUCUCUCUUGUUAUUUUCCAAAGAUGUAUCCCUUAGGUCUUCUGCCCCCAAAUGUCUCAGAAGCUGAGGCAAAGACAAGAACCAUUCUAUUUUCUUGCACAGCAUCCAAGGGAAGCUUCAAACAUAAUUUAACAUUUUAGAGAUUUCCACCCUAUAGGGCCAACUAAUUUGUCAUCCAUAAGGCUGUAGGCCACUGGAAAAUUUGUGCAGUAUCCAUGGAAAACCCAAAUUUCUCCAUCUGGAAGCAGCACUGGAUGAAUUGUUACUUUGUUCAUGCAAAGAAAUCAUGAAAUAAGAGCCUGAUGGGCAUCUGGUACAUAGGAAUAAAAUUAAACAGCAGCAGAAGAGUCUUUGGUCAAAUGUGAGGAAGCUGAAUUGCCCAAAUAGGGCUGCCUAAAGAUCCCAAUAGUGAUUACUUGGUACUUCUUGAAAUCUCCUCUUCUAGGACCCCAACAGUUAUUGCCAAAAUGGAGGGGGAAUGAGGAUAGAUUAUCAGUAACGUAGGUCUGACCCAAUCCCAUCCCUUGUGUCUCAGCCCCCUUGCACAUAUCUUAGACUCCCCCACCACAAAGAGAUGAACACAUUUCCCGAAAAAGAAAGUCAACAGCUAUACCUGCUUUCACCAUCAAACCUGUCACUAGAAGUGGAGGAAUGAGAUUCAAAAAGCACAUUCUGCUUUCUGGCUGGGGACAGCUUCAGGUCCACACACCGUGUGCCAUAAGCACUGUGCUAAGGUCUGCUAAGUUAACACAAGUUGUACAUCAAAAAAAGGUGGCCACCGAAAAUCCCAUAGUGAUGUGCCUGAUGGCCAACCCUGCCUAUGAG